GAUGAACGCUAGCUACAGGCUUAACACAUGCAAGUCGAGGGGAAACGACAUCGAAAGCUUGCUUUUGAUGGGCGUCGACCGGCGCACGGGUGAGUAACGCGUAUCCAACCUGCCCAUCACUUGGGGAUAACCUUGCGAAAGUAAGACUAAUACCCAAUGAUAUCUCUAGAAGACAUCUGAAAGAGAUUAAAGAUUUAUCGGUGAUGGAUGGGGAUGCGUCUGAUUAGCUUGUUGGCGGGGUAACGGCCCACCAAGGCAACGAUCAGUAGGGGUUCUGAGAGGAAGGUCCCCCACAUUGGAACUGAGACACGGUCCAAACUCCUACGGGAGGCAGCAGUGAGGAAUAGUGGUCAAUGGGCGAGAGCCUGAACCAGCCAAGUAGCGUGCAGGAAGACGGCCCUAUGGGUUGUAAACUGCUUUUAUAGGGGAAUAAAGUGAGAGUCGUGACUCUUUUUGUAUGUACCUUAUGAAUAAGGACCGGCUAAUUCCGUG
RNAcentral lists this ribosomal RNA (492 nucleotides) under uncultured bacterium. Its description in RNAcentral is "partial 16S ribosomal RNA". It matches the Rfam family "Bacterial small subunit ribosomal RNA", at positions 28 to 507 of the family's 1533-position model. The record is from RNAcentral.